AUUGAACGCUGGCGGCAUGCUUUACACAUGCAAGUCGAACGGUAACAGGUCUUCGGAUGCUGCCGAGUGGCGAACGGGUGAGUAAUACAUCGGAACGUGCCUAGUAGUGGGGGAUAACUACUCGAAAGAGUAGCUAAUACCGCAUGAGAUCUACGGAUGAAAGCAGGGGACCUUCGGGCCUUGUGCUACUAGAGCGGCUGAUGGCAGAUUAGGUAGUUGGUGGGGUAAAGGCUUACCAAGCCUGCGAUCUGUAGCUGGUCUGAGAGGACGACCAGCCACACUGGGACUGAGACACGGCCCAGACUCCUACGGGAGGCAGCAGUGGGGAAUUUUGGACAAUGGGCGAAAGCCUGAUCCAGCAAUGCCGCGUGCAGGAUGAAGGCCCUCGGGUUGUAAACUGCUUUUGUACGGAACGAAAAGCCUGGGGCUAAUAUCCCCGGGUCAUGACGGUACCGUAAGAAUAAGCACCGGCUAACUACGUG
This 482-nucleotide ribosomal RNA is filed under the name uncultured bacterium. Its description in RNAcentral is "partial 16S ribosomal RNA". It matches the Rfam family "Bacterial small subunit ribosomal RNA", at positions 30 to 507 of the family's 1533-position model. The record is from RNAcentral.